UGCUUUUUGCUUAUACAUUUCCCUAAACAGUUUACUCCUUUUUUCAGGAAUGUUCAGCCCAUUGAUAUUCAAGGAUAUUACAUUGACUUCAGCCAUUGUUAAUCAGGUGUGGAUACGUCAGUCCAGCUUUCUUUAUCGGGCAGUUCCGGGAUAGCAGGAGCCAAUAACUUACAGAUUCGCUGUCGGACUCAUCAGCGGGACUUCUAGCAUGCCGUGGCGCCAUCUUGGAUCCCUGACGACACUGUUCAGAGUCUGUCGAUGUGAAGAACUGUUUCAAUAAGCGCUGUGAGUCUUUCGCUUUAACGCUCCUGCAUUCCUCACCAUCAUAUUCUUUAGUUUUACCAUGUUUGCCCAUGAUUCCAAUCCACAGCAGGCGUGACACCGGGUUUGUGUAGCGGAGCUCCGGUCUUAUGCGACUGCCAUGCUCGGCGGUUAACCACGCCCCCCUAUUAUGGGUUUCUGUGGGCCUCUUUAUCAUAUUUUGGUUUGGAAGGCCUAAAAAGGUACAAGGGAUAUACUUCUGUCUCCUCUGGUAAAGAACUUCUUAAGGCAAGGUUCUCCUCAUGCAUCUUGGGUAAAAGCUACUCCGCAUGGGAAGACGUGUUCUGGAACCUUGCACCUUAAUCAACAAAUAGUGUACAGAGUGCAGUAUAUUGGACACUUGUCUUUCCCAUGGUGUUCUGUUUACACAAGAACCUUAUCAACCAACAAAAAAUGUUUAAUUGUUUGGAAAACUAUGCAUCCAAACAAUGUAGGUCUCUAUAAAACUAUAUUGCA
Long non-coding RNA from Xenopus laevis (African clawed frog), 777 nucleotides. RefSeq lists it as uncharacterized. The record is from RefSeq and is a predicted model, not a curated record. NCBI's taxonomy places the organism in Eukaryota, Metazoa, Chordata, Amphibia, Anura, Pipidae. The transcript is spliced from 3 exons.